AUACUUAGUGGCGGACGGGUGAGUAAUGCUUAGGAAUUUGCCUAGUAGUGGGGGAUAACUUGGGGAAACCCAAGCUAAUACCGCAUACGACCUACGGGUGAAAGGGGGCUUUUAGCUCUCGCUAUUAGAUGAGCCUAAGUCGGAUUAGCUGGUUGGUGGGGUAAAGGCCUACCAAGGCGACGAUCUGUAGCUGGUCUGAGAGGAUGAUCAGCCACACUGGGACUGAGACACGGCCCAG
RNAcentral lists this ribosomal RNA (238 nucleotides) under uncultured Pseudomonadales bacterium. RNAcentral's name for it is "partial 16S ribosomal RNA". It matches the Rfam family "Bacterial small subunit ribosomal RNA", at positions 88 to 334 of the family's 1533-position model. Lineage: Bacteria; Pseudomonadati; Pseudomonadota; Gammaproteobacteria; Pseudomonadales. The record is from RNAcentral.